This 2913-nucleotide ribosomal RNA is filed under the name Enterococcus sp. A2(2023). Its description in RNAcentral is "23S ribosomal RNA". It matches the Rfam family "Bacterial large subunit ribosomal RNA". Lineage: Bacteria; Bacillati; Bacillota; Bacilli; Lactobacillales; Enterococcaceae. The record is from RNAcentral.
GGUUAAGUGAAUAAGGGCGCACGGUGGAUGCCUUGGCACUAGGAGCCGAUGAAGGACGGGACUAACACCGAUAUGCUUUGGGGAGCUGUAAGUAAGCUAUGAUCCAGAGAUUUCCGAAUGGGGGAACCCAAUAUCUUUUAUAGGAUAUUACUUUUCAGUGAAUACAUAGCUGAUUAGAGGUAGACGCAGAGAACUGAAACAUCUUAGUAUCUGCAGGAAGAGAAAGAAAAUUCGAUUCCCUGAGUAGCGGCGAGCGAAACGGGAAGAGCCCAAACCAACAAGCUUGCUUGUUGGGGUUGUAGGACUCCGAUAUGGUAGUCUGUUAGUAUAGUUGAAGGAUUUGGAAAAUUCCGCUAAAGAGGGUGAAAGCCCCGUAGACGAAAUGCUAACAACACCUAGGAGGAUCCUGAGUACGGCGGAACACGAGAAAUUCCGUCGGAAUCCGCGGGGACCAUCCCGCAAGGCUAAAUACUCCCUAGUGACCGAUAGUGAACCAGUACCGUGAGGGAAAGGUGAAAAGCACCCCGGAAGGGGAGUGAAAUAGAUCCUGAAACCGUGUGCCUACAACAAGUCAAAGCUCGUUAAUGAGUGAUGGCGUGCCUUUUGUAGAAUGAACCGGCGAGUUACGAUUGCAUGCGAGGUUAAGUCGAAGAGACGGAGCCGCAGCGAAAGCGAGUCUGAAUAGGGCGAAUGAGUAUGUAGUCGUAGACCCGAAACCAUGUGAUCUACCCAUGUCCAGGUUGAAGGUGCGGUAAAACGCACUGGAGGACCGAACCCACGUACGUUGAAAAGUGCGGGGAUGAGGUGUGGGUAGCGGAGAAAUUCCAAACGAACUUGGAGAUAGCUGGUUCUCUCCGAAAUAGCUUUAGGGCUAGCCUCGGAAUUGAGAAUGAUGGAGGUAGAGCACUGUUUGGACUAGGGGCCCAUCUCGGGUUACCGAAUUCAGAUAAACUCCGAAUGCCAUUCAUUUAUAUCCGGGAGUCAGACUGCGAGUGAUAAGAUCCGUAGUCGAAAGGGAAACAGCCCAGACCACCAGCUAAGGUCCCAAAAUAUAUGUUAAGUGGAAAAGGAUGUGGGGUUGCACAGACAACUAGGAUGUUGGCUUAGAAGCAGCCACCAUUUAAAGAGUGCGUAAUAGCUCACUAGUCGAGUGACCCUGCGCCGAAAAUGUACCGGGGCUAAACAUAUUACCGAAGCUGUGGACUACACCAUUAGGUGUAGUGGUAGGAGAGCGUUCUAAGGGCGUUGAAGGUCGAUCGUGAGGACGGCUGGAGCGCUUAGAAGUGAGAAUGCCGGUAUGAGUAGCGAAAGACAGGUGAGAAUCCUGUCCACCGUAUGACUAAGGUUUCCUGGGGAAGGCUCGUCCGCCCAGGGUUAGUCGGGACCUAAGCCGAGGCCGAUAGGCGUAGGCGAUGGACAACAGGUUGAUAUUCCUGUACCAGUUGUUUUUGUUUGAGCAAUGGAGGGACGCAGUAGGCUAAGGAAUGCAUGCGAUUGGAAGUGCAUGUCCAAGCAAUGAGUCUUGAGUAGAGUUAAAUGCUUUACUCUCUAAGGACAAGUUGUGACGGGGAGCGAAAUAAUAGUAGCGAAGUUCCUGAUGUCACACUGCCAAGAAAAGCUUCUAGUGAGAAAACAACUGCCCGUACCGUAAACCGACACAGGUAGUCGAGGAGAGUAUCCUAAGGUGAGCGAGCGAACUCUCGUUAAGGAACUCGGCAAAAUGACCCCGUAACUUCGGGAGAAGGGGUGCUGACUUCGGUCAGCCGCAGUGAAUAGGCCCAAGCGACUGUUUAUCAAAAACACAGGUCUCUGCAAAAUCGUAAGAUGAAGUAUAGGGGCUGACGCCUGCCCGGUGCUGGAAGGUUAAGAGGAUGGGUUAGCUUCGGCGAAGCUCAGAAUUGAAGCCCCAGUAAACGGCGGCCGUAACUAUAACGGUCCUAAGGUAGCGAAAUUCCUUGUCGGGUAAGUUCCGACCCGCACGAAAGGCGUAACGAUUUGGGCACUGUCUCAACGAGAGACUCGGUGAAAUUUUAGUACCUGUGAAGAUGCAGGUUACCCGCGACAGGACGGAAAGACCCCAUGGAGCUUUACUGUAGUUUGAUAUUGAGUGUUUGUACCACAUGUACAGGAUAGGUAGGAGCCGAUGAGACCGGAACGCUAGUUUCGGAGGAGGCGCUGGUGGGAUACUACCCUUGUGUUAUGAACCCUCUAACCCGCACCACUAAUCGUGGUGGGAGACAGUGUCAGAUGGGCAGUUUGACUGGGGCGGUCGCCUCCUAAAAGGUAACGGAGGCGCCCAAAGGUUCCCUCAGAAUGGUUGGAAAUCAUUCGAAGAGUGUAAAGGCAGAAGGGAGCUUGACUGCGAGACCUACAAGUCGAGCAGGGACGAAAGUCGGGCUUAGUGAUCCGGUGGUUCCGCAUGGAAGGGCCAUCGCUCAACGGAUAAAAGCUACCCUGGGGAUAACAGGCUUAUCUCCCCCAAGAGUCCACAUCGACGGGGAGGUUUGGCACCUCGAUGUCGGCUCGUCGCAUCCUGGGGCUGUAGUCGGUCCCAAGGGUUGGGCUGUUCGCCCAUUAAAGCGGCACGCGAGCUGGGUUCAGAACGUCGUGAGACAGUUCGGUCCCUAUCCGUCGCGGGCGUUGGAAAUUUGAGAGGAGCUGUCCUUAGUACGAGAGGACCGGGAUGGACUUACCGCUGGUGUACCAGUUGUUCUGCCAAGGGCAUUGCUGGGUAGCUAUGUAGGGAAGGGAUAAACGCUGAAAGCAUCUAAGUGUGAAGCCCACCUCAAGAUGAGAUUUCCCAUUUCUUUAAGAAAGUAAGACCCCUGAGAGAUGAUCAGGUAGAUAGGUUGGAAGUGGAAGGCUAGUGAUAGUUGGAGCGGACCAAUACUAAUCGGUCGAGGACUUAACCAA